GAGUUCUGUGGGCAUCUUCAGGCAUUGAGAAGUCCUUAGCUGUCACUGUGAGUCAGACAGACGAGAGUUCCAUGGGCAUCUUCAGCCAUUCAGAAGUCCUUAGCUAUCACUGUGAGUCAAACAGAGAGCUGUGUGAGAGUUCUGUGUGAUGCGAUGAUGUGUGUGGACGUCACUUAAAAGUGUCUGUCUGGCUGCUGAGUUAAGAACAGACUGCUUUGGAGCAAGGGUGAAAUCAUGAGACCAAUGAGGAUGCUUUUGCCUAAUUUGGGCGAGAAAGAGUGGUUUGAACAGGUCCAUGAUGUCUAGCACACCCAGAGUAGCUCCCUGGGGAUUGUCUGCUGCUGAGACUCACAAAUAGAAGAAGGAUAUUCCGAAAAAGUCCAUGAAUAAGAUGUGCUCAUGCUUUGAAGCACACUUUCUGGUUGCAGGUUGCUGUCAGGGAAAAAUAUAUCCAGGCUUGAACAAUGGAUAUGCGCAUCCAUCCCUAGGGAGCAUGGACACGUGACCAUUACUUGGGUGAAACAGAACUGUCUAAACAGAAUUUCGGCAGGAGAGGUAAAAGUGCAACUUGAAAUAUUCUUGCUAUCCGGCCAGGUGCGGUGGCUCAAGCCUGUAAUCCCAGCACUUUGGGAGGCUGAGGAGGGUGGAUCACGAGGUCAAGAGAUCGAGAUCAUCCUGGCCAACAUGGUGAAACCCUGUCUCUACUAAUUUUUUGGUAUUUUGUAAAAAUACAAAAAAUUAUCUGGGCAUGGUGGCGCGUGCCUGUAAUCCCAGCUACUCAGGAGGCUGAGGCAGGAGAAUUGCCUGAACACAGGAGGUGGAGGUUGCGGUGAGCCAAGAUCGUGCCAUUGCACUCCAGCCUGGGUAACAAGAGCGAAACUCCGUCACACACACACACACACACACACACACACACAAAGAAAUAUUCUUGCGAUCUAAACACCAGUCUCUAAAGGUUGAAGAACAGAAUAGAAGUAGAACAUUUCUUAAACCCACCUGCUCCUCAGAUCAGCACAGUCAGCUAAGCGAUUCAUUGCUAAUGGCAUGUUAGAGUCAUUAAAUAUUUGACGUAU
Molecule: long non-coding RNA, 1073 nt
Filed under: Callithrix jacchus (white-tufted-ear marmoset)
Lineage: Eukaryota; Metazoa; Chordata; Mammalia; Primates; Cebidae
Description: lncRNA (ENSCJAG00000073497.1)
Source: RNAcentral